UGGGGAAUAUUGCACAAUGGGCGCAAGCCUGAUGCAGCGACGCCGCGUGCGGGAUGGAGGCCUUCGGUUGUAACCGCUUUGUUCAAGGGCAAGGCACGGUCUUUGGCCGUGUUGAGUGGAUUGUUCGAAUAAGCACCGGCUAACUACGUGCC
RNAcentral lists this ribosomal RNA (152 nucleotides) under uncultured bacterium. RNAcentral's name for it is "partial 16S ribosomal RNA". It matches the Rfam family "Bacterial small subunit ribosomal RNA", at positions 355 to 509 of the family's 1533-position model. The record is from RNAcentral.